AGCACAGACUGGGGCUGCAAGAGCAGACAGAAGGCUGGAGAGAAGCAACGACGAAAAGACCAUAUAACAGGAUUCCCAUUCAGAGUGACGUGUCACUGAAGGAAUACUUGUAUUACUGAACUUUCACACUCGAAGAGUGGACCAGAGAGGAAGAGACCUCCGAUAAUGUACCAGACAGACUCAAGAAGACAAAUAGAAACAAUUUUCUCUUCCUGCAUUAGACUCAAUCUGUCUGGUUCGGCAGGAUACACAGGCAUCACUGUGGCAUGGGAUGAGAAAACAUACGGAGCAUUUUAGGCAAGUUCUUAGGAGAAGACUUGAAAAAUGGGCAGUUGUUAGCUCCUGGAAGAAAAGGGAGGAGAGAGCAGUAUGACUCACAGCAGCUCGAAUACUCUGCGUUUUGUAUGCAGGAGGGGGGCUAGAGAGAGAUAGAGGGGAAAUGAGAGAGACACAGGGAAAGAAAUAGAGCAGACCUUAACAGACGCGAACAGUCGUCAGACAGGGAUGAAGACGGACGACGCAAGCCAGAGCCAGUGACUUCGAGACAGUGGGCCAAGUAAAUCAUCUUGCUGGAGGGUGAGGAAGGUGAGAAGUGGACGAGAGUUUAGGAUCUGACGGGUUUAGCAUGAGGGAAGGGUCACUGAAGAUUUGCUGCCUGAUGGACAUUGGAAUCAGGACUGCAAAGGACAGAAGGACCGGCUGAAAGGUACUUAAAACCGACUGUUUUGCUGUAGGGGGAGACUGGAUAACUGUAUAUUGAAAGGGUCACAUAUACUGUAGAAAAUGACCACAAAUGUGACAUAAGGGGAACAAAUCAGGCCACAGAGCAAAAAUCCAAGCAGGAAGAUUAAUUAAAGAAAAAAAAAGAAUGCAGAAUACAAUUGCUGCAGAUGAGAAAACAUCAGUCUGUGCAUCACACCGGGAACAGCAUGGAAACUUUAACUGUGACAACGACACAGCAAGAGAUUUCUGUUAAAUAUUCAUGCUGACAGGCCACUCUGGAAACAACUUGCUUCCUCCUCCACAGAGGGAAAACAGAAAAGAAAAGAAAACUGCUUUCAUUAUGUGGGACUUUUACGCUAGACAAGUUGGCAAGUGCACCAGGUUAUGUUGACGUCUUGCAGCGAAUUGAAACAGGACCAUGUCGUACUAGCCGCAACGUGGCCUGCUGGAGGUGCACGGUCAGUCAUGAAGAGAGAGGAUUGACAACUGGCAGAAGGACUGUAGCUGUGACUGUCAAGAGGAGGAAAUAAACAUUUGAGAGACCAUUAGAAUUACAUGGGGACUGCAGCCAUAUCUAUUCUAUGUGAGAUAAAUCUAUUCUUGGCUUUUACAGACAAUUGCAUUUUGUAUAGACUCUUGACCUGCUUUGAAAUCCACUAAGAGUUACUAAUUACUGCCAAAUAUAGAAUUUUUAAUUUCCUCUUGGACUGAAUAUAGAUAUUCCUCUUGGACUGAAUAUCAGAGUUGGCCUUAUUUUCAAAAUUUGCCCAGAGUUGGACUACUUUUACAGUUUGAGGAAGGAAACAUUUUUUUUUCUUCACAUCAACCAAAAUAAAGCAGGACAAUACACAGCCUCCAAUCCUGAAACCGUAGAAAGACCAGCUUUGUGUUAAUUUAUGCAAGGACUAUCGAGGAGCUCCGCUAAACAUGCUUGAGUGAUGCUGUAGACCUGUGUGUGCCUGCCAAGCUUUGAAGCCAGCUGUUUCUGAACAUUACCCCACCAAACUCCAUCCGUUAACACCCGGAGCUGCAUGUGUUGCAUGGAUGCUGCCCACCAGCCACAGGGCUGGACCUGAACAGCAGCGGUGAGCGGGGGCACCCGGAGGAGAAGAAUAGAAAGGAGAAAGAAAUCAACAGGCAAAAGGACUGGAAAAAAAACUGACAUCAUGCUCAGAUAAACAGAAGAAAGAAAAGAGUUUCUGGUUGCACCCUUGGGUACAAUGUGUGGCAUCGUGCCCUGUGGCGGUGGGGUUCUGUGAUGUUAACCAUGAUACCCGGCAGCCACUAUAUCUGCAGCACUCAUGCAAGAGAGGAUGACUCGACGAACGAUCGAGAGGAGCGGAUUUUAGCCGUGCUGGGCAUCAUCGGAACCAUUCUCAAUCUUUUAGUGGUCAUAUUCGUUUACAUCUACACCUCAGUCACAUAAGACCUUCAGACAGACUUGAACAAGAACUAUUGGUGCCAAACCAACAUCCUUACUGCCAUACAUCUCUUCAAGUAUUCAAUGUGCUUGGAGGGUUAGGUUAUUAUGUGCUUAGAUGGAAGGAUCCUUGGCAGUGUGUACAGCUGGAUUGUCGCCAACUGCAUCAAUUUACUGCUGUAAGAAUACUCCACAUUUACUGACAAUAGCUGCCAAAUGUCACAAUAGAGAGGAGUUGCAUGAGGCAUCUUGUCUCCCUUCCUUCUCAUAUUGAACUUUUCAUUUUAAGACCGCCUCAAGCCAAAUCAUUGCUGAUAGUGACUACCUGCGCUCAUGACUUGGUAUUUCUAUGAAAACGGGACUCCAUCCAAUGGUGGAUUUUACAGUGCUAUUUUUCAUACGAGACUAUAUGACACUGUUCAUAGGGUGGGCUUUGUUUUACUGCCACAUGAAUAUUUACCCAAACGGACCAAACAGAUUUAGCAGAUUGACUAAAUAGCCACUAAGAACUAUUGACUGAAGGACCUUUGUGCCUCUCCUUUAAAGUUGUAACUUAAUGAGUUCCACCUUUUUUGCAUAAUAUGAGUUGCUAUAGUUAGCAGCCUUUAAAAACCUUUCCAUGGACCUAAUGUGUCCAUACCUGAGCACACCCGAGGAGAGAUUCCUGGCAGUGCUCGGGGUUAUCGGUAUCAUGCUCAACCUCUUGCUGCUCGCCUUUGUCUACAUAUACACAUACAUAUGAGAAACUGCUUACUCAAACACACUAUGAGUACAUAUAAUAGUGUGCAUAAGGUAUAUUUCCUGUAAACAUGUAAAUAUCCUUGAGCUAAUACUGGGUUUCAUAUCUAUAUUACAUAUCUCAAAAUGAGAUAUUUAUGUCCUCUCUAUAUAUCUGAUAGUUUGACUGAAGUUUUGCAUCCUUAAAGUUGCAUUGCAUAAAGCCACCAAAGUCGAGAUGAACAUCAUGACGUUUACUUAAGCUUGCUUUGCCGUGACCGUAGCUCAGUUCUAACCAAACUGACCGAUAUAAUUGAAUUCAUGUUAUUUGCUCUUUAUGCCUUUUCAUGUUCAAACUAUAAAACACACCAAAGUGGAACAAGAGGGUGUCGACAAGUCAGUGUGGGCAACAGCUCAUCAUAACAGCAAAAGAUCCCUCUGUGGAUGCUCAGUGUCAUAGAAUAAUGGUUUAUAUUUUGUUUGCAUGCCUCUUUGAUUGGAUCGGUCAGGCAGUCACCGAGCACUGUCAGAGGUGGCAAAGUUUGAAACUCAGACAAUGUCACACAAAUCAAGAUAGUAUGAUGCUGCAAUGUAACUUAAAGACGCAGGAUGUUUACAAAGGAAAUGAGCAGAACUGCAGGGGAUUGUCUGACAUAAGAGGGCUUAAAGCAUCUGUGUAUGGUUUCUCAUCACAACAAGAUAACAAAGACUAUCUGCAAGUAGGUUCCAGCUUUCCCAUUGAUGGUGCAUGUCAGUGUGGAUAUGAUUUGUGUGCGUUUAAGGGAAGAGAAAAUGCAAAUGCCAAAAGAACAGGAAGGACAGGUAUGAAUCUUCAUCUGAUCCUCAUCAUUCUCUUCUCGACCAACAAACUAAAACCAGAGAAGACAUAAUACAAUCUGGACCCACAUGAAUCUCCGCAGCGAAGCACAUCACUUUUAUAUUGCCAUCAGUGUAUCUAACACCUGAGGACAAGCUGACACAUCAACCACAGAAAUAACCAGGGCAACCUGCAAAUUGCUUCCCUUAAUGAAAGUUUCCUUUUCUGGCUUGUGAAAAUAACUUUUUGAAAAAGAGUGUUUUAUCAUCAUUACAAUGAAAGUAGUAACAUUGUGCAUAUCUGCGCUAUUGGAUGAUUGUCUUCAGACAUACUGUUAAAAAAAACAACAACAACAACAACAAAAAAACACUGGCCAUGUCUAGACAAACAAGCAGUCGUGAAUUUUCUGAUUGCAUGACAAGCUUUCAUUCACAGUUUUUCAUCUCUGUUGAUACCUCAAACAGCAAAACAGAUACAAAUGAAUAUGUUCUAUAUUAUAUAUAAAUAUUUCAUAAGCAUCUUGCUAAUAGACCACACUUAGGGGACCCUUGAAAAUCAACAUGUUGCAUCACAUGCCAAAUGUAUAUGUAUAUUUCAACUUCAGUCUUUAUAUCUUGGGACAUCAAAUUUGGUUAGAAUAACGCUUAAGCUUUUGUUUAAGUAAACUAUAAAGUCAUUCCCAAAUACUGUAUAUAGAUUCAGAUGUGCGAUAUGUCAGAUAGGCGUACAUUUCAAUUUCUGUUUGUAGUCAACAAGUUAAUACUUAAAGAAUCCAACUUCAGACAAGGCGACCUAUUAGCAAAACUGCUUUAAAGGUCCCGUGUUUUGGCUAUUUAGACCUCCUUAGAGUGACUCUGAUACAUUGACUUACUAUAAAAGUGUCUAUUUCAAUUUUUUUUUAAAACACCUUGGUUUUGUCAUACGAGUGUCCAGAAAAGGCCCCUCUGACAGCUACUUCUGUUUGACACAGUUUUGUAUCCACUUUGUCCAUAUUUGGCAAAGACCGCCCCCUUUCCUCUGAUUGAUUGCCUCCGUGUAGAAGACUCACUUUGCGAGAACACGUGUUUGUUAUGUUGACAGCGCUGGCUGGAGACCCAAAAGGGAAUGCGAGGAUCGCCGCUAGUGACGCAGAUAAGCUCAAAAAAUUCUAAUGACCUGAUUUCAGGCCUCUCGGCAGAAAAACAUCAGGAAUUCAGGAAUGCGUGGACGAUUUUAAUUCAUAUUUCACAUGUUUACUGAGGCACCAUAGAGACAAUAUUAUAUCCCAAAUACUAGAAAAAGUUGGUUUGGCAAAAUAUUUUCCCUUUAAAUUAUCAUUAAGAUUAUUUCGUUCAACCAAUGCUGUCAUUUCAAUGUCUUGGUAUUACCCAAACUGUAUUUUAAUUAUGCAUCACAGUUUAAAGAUUCAUAAUUUGUUUCCGAUUAGACACGUCUUGUCAUAGUAGUUAAGCGUACAGCUACAUUAAAUGACAACUGGCUAUACUGUUAAUUACGGCUCCUGUUAUCGAUAUUCAUUAACCUUUGCAUAAAUGUAUUCAUAUAUGAAAAUCAAGAUGUGUUUCAUGUAAACAUCCUCACCCAACUGGUCUCGACAAAGACCGAACAACUGAGUGCAGAGACAAAAUAAUUGCAACACUCAUUAGUUACAGUAUAUUGAUACCAUCAUACAUUUUCAAAGUGUCAAGCAUCAGCAUGCAGACAUCUACUGUACACUAACAAAUAAAAACUAUAACAGUAAAGCCACUACAAUGUAUCAUACCACACAAUUGAAAAUGUCCUGUUGAAUUCUGAACAAGCAAAUACAUAGAAAGCAUUUAACUAGCUCAGGCGGAGUUCUUACUUACCAAUGUGGCUUUCAAAGGUCAACCAAAAAGAUAUCUAUAUAUGUAUAUUUUUAGAAAGAAACAAAUAUUUUUUUCUGGCAAGACUUUGAACCUGAAAAUGUUCACAUUCAAACGUUUCUAUAUUUAUCCACACUACUUUUACUGUUGGAUGAUUUAGCCCUGGUUGUGAAGACCUCUAACAAGCCUAAUAUAAGAACAAUAAAACAACAGUAAUUGCUAUGAUGCUCCCUGUUACCAAUGGUUACGUGACCAAAGUUUUCAUUGUUAAUUAUUAACAUUUGUUAUAUUGAAUGAUUUUUAUUAUUUUUUCAUGACUCUUACUACAUGGUUUUAGGGGUCUGAGGUUUAAGUAUAUUGUAAAUAUAUAACUGUUAUUUUCUGCAUGAAUUUGAGGUUAAAAUUUGGUUCGGUUAAAUUUGAUGUAUAAAUAUUUAACAUUACAGACUCAAAGUUAAAAAAAGCAGAAAGCCCAGAGGACAGGUCUAGGCCAUCUGUUGUGCCCACAGAUACUCAGCCACGCACUCAAUGUACACAUGUGCACACGCGCACACACACACACACACACACACACACACACGCACGCACGCACACACGCACACGCACAUGCAGACACACACGGACUUUCCAUGUAAUAAUGUUUUUUUUUGUGCGUUCAUUUCGGUGCCUAUUUUUAUGUAUUUUUUACUCUACAAAUGAAUUUGCGUUCACAACACUAAUGGAAAGCGCCUUUGUUGCCACAGGAAAGACAGCUGCGCACACCUUGGACUUGCACGCGCAAGAAUGAAAUAUUAACAUGUUUCUACAUUCUGCAUCUGUAUUCAGAAAUGCUCAUUCUGAGUCUGUCAGCAACUAUAUAAUGAAAUUUUCACGUUUUUUAUGAUGCAUUAGAUGAACUGAUUUUCAGAGGGCAUCUUGGAGUAAGCCUGCCUGAUAGUGGGGAAAAAACAAGCUUCUGCAUAAGAAAGCGCUGGAAAUAUUGUAAUUGCUGAUGAAUAUUUAAGAGAAAAGGGUCAUUGGGGAAUUAAAUUAAAUAAAUACCAAUAUGCAUGGGAUUUAUAGGAAAAUUUACUUUUAAUGAGGUCAAACAAAGGGAAGGUAGGAAAGCUGUUGAUUUUUUUUUAAAAGAAAAUGACUAUUCACAAACCUAAUUAAAAAAAAAACUCUUCAGACAGGAUUGAGCCAGAGAUUCAGCAUGAGUGUGAUGAUUCCGUUUCUUAACUUUUGAGCUGAGUACAUUAAAUGUGUGACCAUGAUUUUCUCAGCCAUUAAUAAAAGUUAUACAGUAUUGUGUAAGAAAGAAAACUGUGUGCCAUCUAUAUUUUGUUCAAAACAUUAUGCCUACAAUGGUUCAGAUGGAACAGCAAUUAGAAAUAUUUGAUGUCACCAGUUAAAAGCGCUGAUGUUUUGCUAUCGUUCCUGUAAUUAAUAUAAUAGAUAUGUAACACUAAUAAAGCU
Phycodurus eques (leafy seadragon) is the source of this 6976-nucleotide long non-coding RNA. RefSeq lists it as uncharacterized. The transcript has 3 exons. Lineage: Eukaryota; Metazoa; Chordata; Actinopteri; Syngnathiformes; Syngnathidae. The record is from RefSeq and is a predicted model, not a curated record.